Molecule: ribosomal RNA, 416 nt
Filed under: Micrococcus sp.
Lineage: Bacteria; Bacillati; Actinomycetota; Actinomycetes; Micrococcales; Micrococcaceae
Description: bacterial SSU rRNA
Rfam family: Bacterial small subunit ribosomal RNA
Source: RNAcentral
UCGUACGGGGGGCUGCAGUGUCCUACGGGGGGCUGCAGUGGGGAAUAUUGCACAAUGGGCGCAAGCCUGAUGCAGCGACGCCGCGUGAGGGAUGACGGCCUUCGGGUUGUAAACCUCUUUCAGUAGGGAAGAAGCGAAAGUGACGGUACCUACAGAAGAAGCACCGGCUAACUACGUGCCAGCAGCCGCGGUAAUACGUAGGGUGCGAGCGUUAUCCGGAAUUAUUGGGCGUAAAGAGCUCGUAGGCGGUUUGUCGCGUCUGUCGUGAAAGUCCGGGGCUUAACCCCGGAUCUGCGGUGGGUACGGGCAGACUAGAGUGCAGUAGGGGAGACUGGAAUUCCUGGUGUAGCGGUGGAAUGCGCAGAUAUCAGGAGGAACACCGAUGGCGAAGGCAGGUCUCUGGGCUGUAACUGACG